Molecule: long non-coding RNA, 740 nt
Filed under: Elaeis guineensis (African oil palm)
Lineage: Eukaryota; Viridiplantae; Streptophyta; Magnoliopsida; Arecales; Arecaceae
Description: long non-coding RNA (EGUI_LNC017783)
Source: RNAcentral
UAGUUAAAGAGAAACCAUCUCAAGUGGAGCUCUCGUUAUGUGACACCUGCUCAUGUUCUGUCUUCAAUAUAAAACCUGCUCAGGUUAGUCGGGUAAAAUUGCCCUUAUUCCUCAUAGAAGGCAUUAUUUUUAUGCCUUUUUUUUUUUCUGUUUCCUUUGAUUUGCUUACUGGCGUACUUGAACAGGAUCUGAUCUACAGGAUCGUACAACCAUAUCCUUAAUGGCCUAUAUGCUGAUUGCUGAACCAUCCUCUCAGGUUUAGAGAGUGAAUCAUCUGAGACGGGUGAAAAGCAUAACCUUCGAAGUAUAUAGAACUAGAACAGGAUCCAUGAACUACUGCAGCACUCUAAAGAUUUAUCAUUGGGAAGAAAUAAAAUGAAAAAGUUUGACAGGCGGAAGAGACUCAACUAAAACUAUGAACCAUGCUUGCUGGGUACUUGAAUUAGCAGACGCUCUCACUUAAUUGGGAUGAUAUUACGCACCAAUGGCCUGCUGAACCUUUUGCUCUCAAUUUCAGCCAGCCACAAAGGAAUAAUGCUGUGUGGCUUCCAUUUCCUGCAGACGAAAACUUCCACUGCCACGUGGCAGGAGGAGAUCAGUACAACUUACACCGGGUGGUAGAAUGUGGAGUGGACAAGACAGCAUCAAGUUGCGGUUCGCCUGGAAACUUUUCAAGAGCCACCAAGCAUUUUCUCAGAAUAAGUUCUAUCACUCCAGACCCAUGAAAUCAGGAUCAGCAA